GCACGGUUUUAUUUAUUUCCGCUGGAAGAGCAUGGGCCUCUUAAUCCUAGGGUUGUGGGUUCGAGCCCCACAUUGGGCA
This is a non-coding RNA of Podarcis lilfordi (Lilford's wall lizard), 79 nucleotides long. NCBI's taxonomy places the organism in Eukaryota, Metazoa, Chordata, Lepidosauria, Squamata, Lacertidae. The record is from the annotation of a GenBank genome assembly.